CUUGCCUUGAGCUGCAGCCGCCUUUCACUUCCGCUAGGGUUCCGUUCGACUGUCACAUAAACUAAAGGGGCUUCUACUCCAUUUCUGCGAGCCAUCCUUGGGUUGGUGCACUCCGAGGUCCCGUGUCGAAGCUCCGUUAGCCCUCUUCCAGGUGGGUGAGGCUCUCGUGGUCAACCAGGGAAUGACGACUUCGCUACUUAACUAUCUGGGCUAGAUCUCGAAUGUCUUUCUUUCAUGUUUUCUUUAGGGCUAUGGCCCCUGUAUUCGUGGUUAUUAGAUUGUAAACUUUUAGUUAAACAACUAUCCUGCUUUUGUUGGCAUCGUGGUGUGCCUAGUCUUGUAGGGGUGUUGAGAACCCCGGGACUGCG
This is a long non-coding RNA of Vigna unguiculata (cowpea), 368 nucleotides long. Lineage: Eukaryota; Viridiplantae; Streptophyta; Magnoliopsida; Fabales; Fabaceae. The record is from RefSeq and is a predicted model, not a curated record.